Molecule: ribosomal RNA, 269 nt
Filed under: uncultured bacterium
Lineage: Bacteria
Description: partial 16S ribosomal RNA
Rfam family: Bacterial small subunit ribosomal RNA
Source: RNAcentral
UGGGACCCUAGUGGCGGACGGGUGAGUAACGCGUGGGUAACCUGCCCCAUACCGGGGGAUAACACUUAGAAAUAGGUGCUAAUACCGCAUAAGCGCACGGUACUGCAUGGUACAGUGUGAAAAACUCCGGUGGUACGGGAUGGACCCGCGUCUGAUUAGCUUGUUGGCGGGGUAACGGCCCACCAAGGCGACGAUCAGUAGCCGGCCUGAGAGGGCGGACGGCCACACUGGGACUGAGACACGGCCCAGACUCCUACGGAAGGCAGCAG